CGCGGGGUGGAGCAGUUUGGUAGCUCGUCGGGCUCAUAACCCGAAGGU
Molecule: transfer RNA, 48 nt
Filed under: Acidimicrobiaceae bacterium
Lineage: Bacteria; Bacillati; Actinomycetota; Acidimicrobiia; Acidimicrobiales; Acidimicrobiaceae
Description: tRNA-Met
Source: RNAcentral